Molecule: transfer RNA, 92 nt
Filed under: Caballeronia novacaledonica
Lineage: Bacteria; Pseudomonadati; Pseudomonadota; Betaproteobacteria; Burkholderiales; Burkholderiaceae
Description: Burkholderia novacaledonica tRNA-Pro
Source: RNAcentral
UUCGCGCAGGUGCGCGCGUUCGCACACGCGCCUUCGGGCGACGCGGCGAGUCUCACCGCGCAGCUCGACGGUGCGAUCGCCGCCGCGCGGCU